This 109-nucleotide ribosomal RNA is filed under the name Vibrio vulnificus. Lineage: Bacteria; Pseudomonadati; Pseudomonadota; Gammaproteobacteria; Vibrionales; Vibrionaceae. The record is from RNAcentral.
ACCAUAGCGUUUUGGACCCACCUGAACCCAUUCCGAACUCAGAAGUGAAACGAAAUAGCGUCGAUGGUAGUGUGGGGUUUCCCCAUGUGAGAGUAGAACAUCGCCAGGC